Molecule: ribosomal RNA, 656 nt
Filed under: uncultured bacterium
Lineage: Bacteria
Description: bacterial SSU rRNA
Rfam family: Bacterial small subunit ribosomal RNA
Source: RNAcentral
AAGAUGGUUCUGCUAUCACUCUUGGAUGGACCUGCGGUGCAUUAGCUAGUUGGUAAGGUAACGGCUUACCAAGGCAAUGAUGCAUAGCCGAGUUGAGAGACUGAUCGGCCACAUUGGGACUGAGACACGGCCCAAACUCCUACGGGAGGCAGCAGUAGGGAAUCUUCCACAAUGGACGAAAGUCUGAUGGAGCAACGCCGCGUGAGUGAAGAAGGGUUUCGGCUCGUAAAGCUCUGUUGGUAGUGAAGAAAGAUAGAGGUAGUAACUGGCCUUUAUUUGACGGUAAUUACUUAGAAAGUCACGGCUAACUACGUGCCAGCAGCCGCGGUAAUACGUAGGUGGCAAGCGUUGUCCGGAUUUAUUGGGCGUAAAGCGAGUGCAGGCGGUUCAAUAAGUCUGAUGUGAAAGCCUUCGGCUCAACCGGAGAAUUGCAUCAGAAACUGUUGAACUUGAGUGCAGAAGAGGAGAGUGGAACUCCAUGUGUAGCGGUGGAAUGCGUAGAUAUAUGGAAGAACACCAGUGGCGAAGGCGGCUCUCUGGUCUGCAACUGACGCUGAGGCUCGAAAGCAUGGGUAGCGAACAGGAUUAGAUACCCUGGUAGUCCAUGCCGUAAACGAUGAGUGCUAAGUGUUGGGAGGUUUCCGCCUCUCAGUGCU